CCGAAAGACGAGUGGCGAACGGGUGCGUAACGCGUAUGCAAUCUGCCUUUUACUAGGGUAUAGCCCAGAGAAAUUUGGAUUAAUCCCCUAUAAUAUCAUUUAAUCGCAUGAUUUUAUGAUUAAAGCUUCGGCGGUAAAAGAUGAGCAUGCGUCCUAUUAGUUAGUAGGUGAGGUAACGGCUCACCUAGACUCCGAUAGGUAGGGGUCCUGAGAGGGAGAUCCCCCACACUGGUACUGAGACACGGACCAGACUCCUACGGGAGGCAGCAGUGAGGAAUAUUGGACAAUGGACGAAAGUCUGAUCCAGCUAUGCCGCGUGCAGGAUGACGGCCCUAUGGGUUGUAAACUGCUUUUAUACAGGAAGAAAAACUCCGACGUGUCGGAACUUGACGGUACUGUAAGAAUAAGGAUCGGCUAACUCCGUGCCAGCAGCCGCGGUAAUACGGAGGAUCCAAGCGUUAUCCGGAAUCAUUGGGUUUAAAGGGUCCGUAGGCGGUUUUUUAAGUCAGAGGUGAAAUCCUGCAGCUCAACUGUAGAAUUGCCUUUGAUACUGAAAGACUUGAGUUAUUGUGAAGUGGUUAGAAUGUGUGGUGUAGCGGUGAAAUGCAUAGAUAUCACACAGAAUACCAAUUGCGAAGGCAGAUCACUAACAAUAUACUGACGCUCAGGGACGAAAGCGUGGGUAGCGAACAGGAUUAGAUACCCUGGUAGUCCACGCCGUAAACGAUGGAUACUAGCUGUAUGUCUACUUCAGGUAGAUGUGUGGCU
Molecule: ribosomal RNA, 768 nt
Filed under: uncultured bacterium
Lineage: Bacteria
Description: bacterial SSU rRNA
Rfam family: Bacterial small subunit ribosomal RNA
Source: RNAcentral